Molecule: long non-coding RNA, 1960 nt
Filed under: Cucumis sativus (cucumber)
Lineage: Eukaryota; Viridiplantae; Streptophyta; Magnoliopsida; Cucurbitales; Cucurbitaceae
Description: long non-coding RNA (CSAT_LNC003107)
Source: RNAcentral
AAAAGAAUAAAAUGUACAAAAUGAUAAUAAUAAACACAAUGCAAGAAUAAGUAAACGAUCGUGCAAUGAAAUAAUAUACAUUAAACGAUCCUAUUAACCGUGAUAAACGACCAUUUAACAACGGUAAAUGAUAAUAUUGAUUAAAAUAAAUUAUCGUGUUGACAUGGGUACACGAUCAUAUGAUAUUGGUGAUCGUAUUGAAUAGUGUAAACAAUCGUCUUGUUAUCGGUACACGAUCGUGUUAAUAUUUGUAAGUGAUUCUAUUGAUAGUGGUAACUGAUCGUGUAAUUCCAUGUAAACUAUCGUCAAAAACUUUAAACUAUCGAUCUUUAUAAUGAAGUACAUAAUUCUUACAUUAAUACUUAAAAUUUGUUGUAACGACCAACUUUUCUAACUAAGUUGAAGUCAUUAAUUUUGACAAAGAGACCUUGAUUGACACAAAAUAUAGUAAAAUUCACUUGAAAUCAUACGAUCAAAGAAAACAAACUUAAGUUCGGGUCCUAUUUCAAAUAACCAAAACUUUAAAAGUACUAUUUACAAAACAACAGUUCGUAAACUCAGUUCCAUCACAAAAUUUUUAAACAACCUCAUGUACAAAGGAAAAACAAGAAACAUAAAGCGGAAGCAUUUGAAGGACAUUCCCUUAUGGCAAUCACGUCUCCUUUUUGUCCCUCGUCGGUCUACCUCCUUUGUUACCUUUGCCUGAAAUAGUUAAACAUGAAAGGAUGGGUAUAAACAUACCCAAUAAGAGACUCGCUAUUGUCCCGUUAGGGGAAAAAGUAACUGUUAACUUCUAUUGGGUACCUGCACAGUCACAAUCUUGUGAUCCCGUAGGAUACACAUAAUCAGUCUAACGCCUCAAAGGACGCAUAAAUCAGUCUAGUGUUCCGCAGAAACACAUAUCAGUCUAAUGCUCCCGAAGGAUGCACAUAUCAGUCUAGUGCUAUCGAAGGAUGCACAUAUCAGGUGGUGAUCCCGUAGGACACCUGCAAGGUAACUACCCAAUAGAAAUCUAACAAUUUUCCCCUCAAUCCAUUCUAAACAUCUUAACACUCAUUCAUAGUACAGAGAACUUCAAUAUAAUCAUUAACACCCUAAUCAACCUAUCUCACUUUAGCCCAAUGUCCGCCAGUAACAUAUCAAUACAUCAGUCAAUCAAACUAUAUAGUCAUAACACCCCUCAAUUCACCAGUACACAACCAUACUUUAGUAUAACAUACACCCAAUCUAAACGACAAUCACAAGUUCACAUCCAUUCCAUACAAACACAAUCUACAAUUGUCGUCCUGUCUACAUCCAUACAUACAUAUAUAUAUAUAUAUAUAUAUAUAUAUAUAUAUAUCCCAGACAAUCACAAUAUGCAUUCAACAUCAAGUCUACAUCAAUCCAUGUAUAUAUAUAUUUUUUCAGUCAUUCACAGUAUACAUUCAACACCAAGUCUACAUCCAUACGUGUAUAUAUCGUUUCGACAUCUUUACUCAAUCGGAGGUAACUAUACAGACAGCACAAUUCAAAACUAUAGGUGAGUCCAGUAGUAGAGAAUCCCUUACCUUAUCACCUUACUUAAGCUUCUUUUUCAAACUAAAGUGCAACGAACCGACCUAAACAUAAUUGAAGAGAAAUCAAUCACUUCCACAAACAAUUUAAUCCAUUCAAUUCACUCUAUAUGUAAAUUCCAUAACUUACCCAAAUUGUGGAGAAUCAAAUUCUAACGGAGACGGAUCGGUGCAACAAAUAACCGAACAAUUCAGAUCUAAACAUACAUGGCGUGACAGAACCGGAGUGACUCGGGCUAACGGUGAUGCGACGAUAGGACAAAAUUUGCUUGACGUUCGGUGUAGGUGGAAGACGGUGGUGAAGUUGAUUGGAGAAGGAAAAGAGAAGGAAGAAAAGAGAUGGUGGUGUGGCCGUAGGUUGAAGAGGAUGAGAAAGGAAGAAGAUGAAUAGGAAAAGAGAAAAA